AAUAGAUACCCCGGUAGUCCACGCCGUAAACGAUGUCGACUUGGAGGUUGUUCCCUUGAGGAGUGGCUUCCGGAGCUAACGCGUUAAGUCGACCGCCUGGGGAGUACGGCCGCAAGGUUAAAACUCAAAUGAAUUGACGGGGGCCCGCACAAGCGGUGGAGCACGUGGUUUAAUUCGAUGCAACGCGAAGAACCUUACCUACUCUUGACAUCCACGGAACUUUUCAGAGAUGAAUUGGUGCCUUCGGGAACCGUGAGACAGGUGCUGCAUGGCUGUCGUCAGCUCGUGUUGUGAAAUGUUGGGUUAAGUCCCGCAACGAGCGCAACCCUUAUCCUUUGUUGCCAGCGGUUAGGCCGGGAACUCAAAGGAGACUGCCAGUGAUAAACUGGAGGAAGGUGGGGAUGACGUCAAGUCAUCAUGGCCCUUACGAGUAGGGCUACACACGUGCUACAAUGGCGCAUACAAAGAGAAGCGACCUCGCGAGAGCAAGCGGACCUCAUAAAGUGCGUCGUAGUCCGGAUUGGAGUCUGCAACUCGACUCC
Molecule: ribosomal RNA, 542 nt
Filed under: uncultured bacterium
Lineage: Bacteria
Description: bacterial SSU rRNA
Rfam family: Bacterial small subunit ribosomal RNA
Source: RNAcentral